Molecule: ribosomal RNA, 1426 nt
Filed under: uncultured bacterium
Lineage: Bacteria
Description: bacterial SSU rRNA
Rfam family: Bacterial small subunit ribosomal RNA
Source: RNAcentral
AGAGUUUGAUCCUGGCUCAGGAUGAACGCUGGCGGCGUGCCUAAUACAUGCAAGUCGAACGAAACUUCUUUAUCACCGAGUGCUUGCACUCACCGAUAAAGAGUUGAGUGGCGAACGGGUGAGUAACACGUGGGCAACCUGCCCAAAAGAGGGGGAUAACACUUGGAAACAGGUGCUAAUACCGCAUAACCAUAGUUACCGCAUGGUAACUAUGCAAAAGGUGGCUAUGCUACCGCUUUUGGAUGGGCCCGCGGCGCAUUAGCUAGUUGGUGGGGUAAAGGCUUACCAAGGCAAUGAUGCGUAGCCGAACUGAGAGGUUGAUCGGCCACAUUGGGACUGAGACACGGCCCAAACUCCUACGGGAGGCAGCAGUAGGGAAUCUUCCACAAUGGGCGAAAGCCUGAUGGAGCAACGCCGCGUGGGUGAAGAAGGUCUUCGGAUCGUAAAACCCUGUUGUUAGAGAAGAAAGUGCGUGAGAGUAACUGUUCACGUUUCGACGGUAUCUAACCAGAAAGCCACGGCUAACUACGUGCCAGCAGCCGCGGUAAUACGUAGGUGGCAAGCGUUAUCCGGAUUUAUUGGGCGUAAAGGGAACGCAGGCGGUCUUUUAAGUCUGAUGUGAAAGCCUUCGGCUUAACCGGAGUAGUGCAUUGGAAACUGGGAGACUUGAGUGCAGAAGAGGAGAGUGGAACUCCAUGUGUAGCGGUGAAAUGCGUAGAUAUAUGGAAGAACACCCAGUGGCGAAAGCGGCUCUCUGGUCUGUAACUGACGCUGAGGUUCGAAAGCGUGGGUAGCAAACAGGAUUAGAUACCCUGGUAGUCCACGCCGUAAACGAUGAAUGCUAAGUGUUGGAGGGUUUCCGCCCUUCAGUGCUGCAGCUAACGCAAUAAGCAUUCCGCCUGGGGAGUACGACCGCAAGGUUGAAACUCAAAGGAAUUGACGGGGGCCCGCACAAGCGGUGGAGCAUGUGGUUUAAUUCGAAGCAACGCGAAGAACCUUACCAGGUCUUGACAUCCCGCUGGCAGGAUAGUAAUGUAUCCGUCCCUUCGGGGCAGUGGAGACAGGUGGUGCAUGGUUGUCGUCAGCUCGUGUCGUGAGAUGUUGGGUUAAGUCCCGCAACGAGCGCAACCCUUACCUUCAGUAGCCAGCACGUAAUGGUGGGCACUCUGGAGGGACUGCCGGGGACAACCCGGAGGAAGGUGGGGACGACGUCAAAUCAUCAUGCCCCUUAUGGCCUGGGCUACACACGUGCUACAAUGGCGUAAACAGAGGGAGGCAGCCCCGCGAGGGUGAGCAAACCCCAAAAAUAACGUCCCAGUUCGGAUUGCAGUCUGCAACUCGACUGCAUGAAGCUGGAAUCGCUAGUAAUCGCGGAUCAGAAUGCCGCGGUGAAUACGUUCCCGGGUCUUGCACACACCGCCCGUCA